ACUCAAAGGAAUAGACGGGGGCCCGCACAAGCGGUGGAGCAUGUGGUUUAAUUCGAUGCUACGCGAAGAACCUUAUCCUGGGCUUGACAUCCCGCGCUACCCGAUGAAAGUCGGGGUUCCCUUCGGGGACGCGGUGACAGGUGCUGCAUGGCUGUCGUCAGCUCGUGUCGUGAGAUGUUGGGUUAAGUCCCGCAACGAGCGCAACCCUCGUCGUUAGUUGCCAUCAUUAAGUUGGGCACUCUAACGAGACCGCUUGGCUAUAAGCCAGAGGAAGGUGGGGAUGACGUCAAGUCCUCAUGGCCUUUAUGUCCAGGGCUACACACGUGCUACAAUGGGGGAUACAAAUCGCUGCAAGCUCGCGAGAGCAAGCUAAUCGCAAAAAGUCCCUCUCAGUUCGGAUUGGAGUCUGCAACUCGACUCCAUGAAGCUGGAAUCGCUAGUAAUCGCGGAUCAGAACGCCGCGGUGAAUACGUUCCCGGGCCUUGCACACACCGCCCGU
RNAcentral lists this ribosomal RNA (499 nucleotides) under uncultured bacterium. Its description in RNAcentral is "partial 16S ribosomal RNA". It matches the Rfam family "Bacterial small subunit ribosomal RNA", at positions 899 to 1397 of the family's 1533-position model. The record is from RNAcentral.